CGCACAUUGCGCCCUUUGGCAGUCCGAAGGGCAUAUCUGUUCGAGUGUCAUUUACCUCUUCAAGCUCUGCUUGGUGUUGGGUGCUUGCCUUGCUAGGCUCACCUUGAAAUAAUGAGUGCUUGCGAGGCCCGUAAGUAGCGGAGUAGAAUCUGCUUCCAGGGGGCUGUUCGGGGCACUGUAAACCAAUCUUUCACCUUUUGACCUCGGAUCAGAUAGGGAUACCCGCUGAACUUAA
RNAcentral lists this unclassified non-coding RNA (235 nucleotides) under Pleosporales sp. RNAcentral describes it as "partial contains 5.8S ribosomal RNA, internal transcribed spacer 2, and large subunit ribosomal RNA". Lineage: Eukaryota; Fungi; Ascomycota; Dothideomycetes; Pleosporales. The record is from RNAcentral.